This is a small nuclear RNA of Sciurus vulgaris (Eurasian red squirrel), 164 nucleotides long. Its record names the gene U1. It matches the Rfam family "U1 spliceosomal RNA". Rfam says of the family: U1 is a small nuclear RNA (snRNA) component of the spliceosome (involved in pre-mRNA splicing). Its 5' end forms complementary base pairs with the 5' splice junction, thus defining the 5' donor site of an intron. There are significant differences in sequence and secondary structure between metazoan and yeast U1 snRNAs, the latter being much longer (568 nucleotides as compared to 164 nucleotides in human). Lineage: Eukaryota; Metazoa; Chordata; Mammalia; Rodentia; Sciuridae. The record is from Ensembl.
AUACUUAGUUGGCAGGGAAUAUACUGUGAUCAUGAAGGUGGUUUUCCCAGUGCAAGGCUUAUCCACUGCACUCCAGAUUUGCUGACCCCUGAGAUUUCCUCCAAUGUGUGAAACUCAACUGCAUAAUUUGUGGUAGUGGGGGACUGCAUUUGCACUCUUCCCCC